GAAAUGCGAUAAGUAAUGUGAAUUGCAGAAUUCAGUGAAUCAUCGAAUCUUUGAACGCAUAUUGCGCCCGCCAGUAUUCUGGCGGGCAUGCCUGUUCGAGCAUCAUUACAACCCUCAGGCCCCGGGCCUGGCGUUGGGGAUCGGCGGAAGCCCCCUGCGGGCACAACGCCGUCCCCCAAAUACAGUGGCGGUCCCGCCGCAGCUUCCAUUGCGUAGUAGCUAACACCUCGCAACUGGAGAGCGGCGCGGCCACGCCGUAAAACACCCAACUUCUGAAUGUUGACCUCGAAUCAGGUAGGAAUACCCGCUGAACUUAAGC
This 319-nucleotide unclassified non-coding RNA is filed under the name plant metagenome. Its description in RNAcentral is "partial contains 5.8S ribosomal RNA, internal transcribed spacer 2, and large subunit ribosomal RNA". The stretch from base 1 to 105 matches the Rfam family "5.8S ribosomal RNA", at positions 50 to 154 of the family's 154-position model. The record is from RNAcentral.